Long non-coding RNA from Gasterosteus aculeatus aculeatus (three-spined stickleback), 759 nucleotides. The record is from Ensembl. NCBI's taxonomy places the organism in Eukaryota, Metazoa, Chordata, Actinopteri, Perciformes, Gasterosteidae.
GGCACAUGAGCAUACAAGAAAAACCCAACCACAGGCCGGGGGGGACACGCCUCCACGCCUCCUCGCGGCGGCGGAGGUCACAACGCCACAGGUCACAACGCCACGCGUAUUGGGGGAAGCAGAAUGAACGGACACUUUUGGAAUAUUUCCAGACAGCAGGAAGAUAAGCGGGCGACCGGGUUCAGCUGCUCUGGAACGACGAUCCAAAUGGCCGAAAGGCACGAUCGAAUCUCCCUUUCACCAAACUUUAUUGACACGAAUCGCUCCUCGGCUGCCUGGCUGCUGAUAAACAAACAACUGCUUCCCCACCAGGCGCCUGCUGCGUGUCGCCUGUUGUUGGCGAGAGUCGAAGAACGGAGGAUGCGUGAGACCAUCGAGCAGCCGCGCCCUCACCCCAUCUGGGAUCACACAGCCGCAGCACAUGCCUUCUGAUUGAUUUAUUCAAGAUUAAUUGUUGCUUUGUCGGCUCAUUGCUUCCAACCGGUUCGCGUCAGAUGUCUGUGCUUUGCACUACAUUUGAACGCGGUGCAAACAAAGGGUCCUCCGCUCGUCUCGUCGCCACGAUGCAGCUACAGGUCGGCGCCAUGAAUUAGGCCACCAAUAAAGACAGACGAGUCUGGCCUCCAAGGCGAUUACAGAUCCAAAAUGAAUCUUUAAGCUUCAGCUAUUUAUGACUCUUGUUUCUUGAAAAUGAUACAAGCUCUCGCUAAUUGGAUUUGAUGGAGUCACAGAAGGGGACACGACUCCUUAAUUCAGUUC